AUGGAGGCGCGGCGGCGGACGUUGCUGGUGGCGCUGGCGGUGCUGGCCCUGGCGGCGGCGGCGGCGGAGGGGUACAACAUCACCAAGAUCCUGGCCGAGUACCCGGAGUACUCGCAGUUCAACAAGCUGCUGACGCAGACGCGGCUGGCGCAGGACAUCAACAAGCGCCGCACCAUCACCGUGCUCGUCGUGGCCAACGGCGACAUGGGCGGCCUCGCCGGCGGGGGCCGCACGCUGCAGACCAUCCGCCACAUGCUCCAGAUUCACGUCCUCGUCGACUACUACGGCGGCAAGAAGCUCCACCAGCUCGCCCACGGCGUCACCGCAUGCUCCACCAUGUUCCAGGAGUCCGGCGCGGCCCCCGGCAUGUCCGGGUACGUGAACAUCACGCAGCACCGGGGCGGCAAAGUGACGUUCACGGCGGAGGACGCGGAGGACAGCGCGCCCUCCUCCGCCUUCGUCAAGUCCGUCAAGGAGAUCCCCUACGACCUGGCGGUGCUCCAGAUCAGCAAGGUGCUGGCCUCACCGGAGGCCGAGGCGCCCGUGGCGGCGCCGGCGCCCGUCAACAUCACCGAGCUGCUCUCCAAGAAGUACUGCAAGAGCUUCGCCGGCCUGCUGGCCGCCGACGCCGACGCCUACAGCACCAUCAACGCCACCAAGGACAACGGGCUCACCCUCUUCUGCCCCGUCGACUCCGCCGUCGCCUCCUUCAUGCCCAAGUACAAGAACCUGACGGCCAAGGGCCGGACGGCCAUCCUGCUCUACCACGCCGUGCCGGACUACUACUCGCUGCAGCUGCUCACCUCCAACAGCGGCAAGGUCAGCACGCUCGCCACCUCCAACGUCGCCAAGAAGGACUACAGCUUCGACGUCGAGAAGGACGGCGAGACCGCCGAGCUGGACACCAAGGUGAACUCGGCCUCGGUCACCUACACCAUCAAGGACGACGACCCGCUCGCCGUCUACGCCAUCUCCAAGUUCCUGCAGCCCAAGGAGCUGUACAAGAUCGCCAAGGACAUCGCCCCCGCGCCGGCGCCCGAGGCCCCCAAGAAGAAGAAGACCACCAAGAAGAAGCCCUCCGCGGCCGCCUCGCCCUCGGACGACGACGACGACGAUGACUCCGCCGCGGACUCGCCCGACGACUCCUCAUCCGACGACGCCACCGCUGACAAGGACGGCGCCGCGCCGUCCGCGGUGGCCGGGUGGGUGACGGCCGCCGUGGCCGUGGCCUCGGCGCUGGCAUUGGCAGCUUAA
This 1254-nucleotide ribosomal RNA is filed under the name Triticum aestivum (bread wheat). Its description in RNAcentral is "partial small subunit ribosomal RNA". The record is from RNAcentral. Lineage: Eukaryota; Viridiplantae; Streptophyta; Magnoliopsida; Poales; Poaceae.